AUGAUUGCCAAGGAGACUACUGUCAAGAUUUAUUGUAAAAAAUUAGUUUUAUUUUGGUCUGUAUUCAUCCAAAACCGAUUUAAUGGCUUCAGAAGACAUUGACCGAGUUGUAUGGAUUUCAUUUAUGAUGACUUAAGAUGCUUUUAGCUUCAGUGUUCUGGUCACCAAUUACUUGCACUGAAUUGACCAACAGAGCUGAGAUAUUCUUCUAAAAAUCUGUGGUUGUAUUCAGCAGAAAAAAGAAAGUCAUACACAUCUGGGAUGGUAUGAGGGUAGAAAGACCCGCCAUUAAUGUAUCCAAGCAGCAAAUAGAGUUUCUCAUGAAUCAGGGAUACUCCAUAAUGCGGAAGGCUAAGAUGCUGGGCUGCUCCUCUUCUUUUCUGUAUAGGAAAGCGAAGUCAUUUAGAAUCCUUAUACGUAACCGGCAAAGGCACGUGACUGAUGAGGAGCUCAUGCAGCAACUCAGAAGACUUCAAUAGUCUCUAUCUUAAUACAGGGAGUGAGAUCAUGAGGGGAUUGCUACUGGCUGAAGGUCUGUUUGUCCAGUGGUGUAGAGUCUGAGAAGCUCUGACACUAAUUAAUCCAGUUGCGGCUGCACGCAGAUGGAGUGGUGCCAUUGCCAGAAGGGUUUACCAUGUUCCUCAUCCCAACAGUUUAUGGCACAUAGAUGGAAAUAUGUGACUGAUUAGGUAAUAUGCUCUUUAUAUGCUUUUAAAUCAUUAUGGAGUGCGAUCCGACUAUGGUGGUGAAAAUUCACAAAUCGCCCUCUUCAUGAAUUUUGUGCAAGGUCUGGAACGGAGAAGUCACAUAACAAGAGAAUCUGUCCAUAAUCAGCGCAUAGAGCGGCUUUAGAGAGAUGUUUUCCUGCAUGUACUCCAAUACUUGUACUACUUAUUUUACACUGGAAGAUUCACAAACUCGCCCUGCAAAUUGUCUUUUUGCCAGACUGUAUCUCUUUAGGAAUGCAUGGAAACACCACAGAAUAAGAACAGAGAACAAUCAAACACCAGUCCAAAUCUGGAGUGCAGGCAUGCUGUCCAACAUGGGAACAGACUGCAGAGCCAUCAAAAUUGUGUUUGGUGAGGAUCGUUGCAUCACACAGAGCUUGGACGAUGCUUUGGCACAUGGCAUUGACAGCUUUCCUGUGACUGAUGAUGAUGAACAUUUCCCAGCUGUGAUUGUGGAACAACCCAGAAUCAAUCUGAUCCACCAGCAACAGCAGCAAAACAUUAUGCAGGCAAUUGAGACCAUCUCAGACGUUACCUUAAAGUAUCAAACACUACAGGAUGGCUGAAGUUUUUCAUUUUGAUAUGCACUAUAUGUCUGUUUUCCCAGUAAAGAACCCUCAGAGUGAUAAACCUGCAUAUAUUGAUUAUAUUGAACACACUUGCGAUUUUUGUAGGAUGUUGGCUGGCAUGAUAUAAUCUUUGUUAAAUUGUGUAAUUUUGAAUUAACUAAAUUUCACUUUCUUUUACUUUCUACUUUGCCUCAAAAAUUGUUCAUGUACUUUGGCCAUUAGCCUCCUGACUGUGGCCUUAUCAAAGGGAUAUUCCCCAAGAACAGUAGACAGCUUUUGAAUCCCCAGCAGGUUAAUACCAUACUAUCUGGGUCAUGCUAUAAAAAAAGUUUUCAUCAGUAUUUCUAAGGUCAAAGAUGAACAAAGGAUCCACAGAAAUAAAAUUAAAUAUGAUUCAGGUUUUAUUUUACCAUGUAUGCAGUGAAACAUUUAUAUGUUUGGUGUAUGAUUGUGUUUCUACUUUUUGAUGUAGUGUAUAAUUCAGUUUAUAACAAUUACAAUUGUUAAUGUUGAUAAAUGGAAUAACCUGAUUUCGAAACCACAUGUGUAAUACAUUUGUCAAAAGAUAAAUCUGAGAACUUCAAACCAAUACCCCGAGAAUCUGAAACAAUAUGCAAAAUAUAUACUGGUACCGGUAACUGCAAUGAAAGUAUAAAUCUAAUAGUAGGUGUAACAAUAGCAGUAAAACAAUAACAGUAAAUGGGGGAUUAGUUCACAAUGUACAAUUUUGGAAUAUUGAACUUGCGCAUUGUAAUUUUUAAAAAGGAACCUUUAAAGAAUAGUUAACCAAAAAUUGAUAAUUCUCUAAACAUUUAGUAACAUUUACUUUCUUCCGCAGAACUCAAACAAUACUGUUUUGAUGGAGAUAUGAUGUCCGUUUGUCUGUACAAUGCAAGUGAAUGGGAACCAAAUUUUCAAGCUCCAAAACCGACAUAAAGGCAGCAUGAGGGUAUUUAAAAUUACUUGAGUGGUUUAAUCCAUGAUUUCUGAAUUGAUCCAAUCAGUUUUGGGUGAGAACAGACCAAAAUGUAAAUCUUUUUAACUCUACAUCUUGCCAUUGCUGUCUCGGUGCAAGAUCAUGAUUUCAAAGUUGUUUACACUAACUAGUGCUUGACAGACGGGCACAGCACUGUGCGAUGUAAUCAAGCUUGAAAUCAUGAUUGCAAAGGAGACUGCUGAUGUCAACUUUUAUUGUGAAAAAGGAGUUAUAUUUUGGUUCCCAUUCACUUGUGAUGUAUUAAUACAUUUCCUUAAUAUACACUAUCCAUGAAAAUAUCUUUGUUUGUAUUCCAUGGAAGAAAGUCAUACAAGUUUGAAAUGGCAUAAGUGUAGAGAAUGACAUUUUUGGGUAAACUAUUCCUUUAAGAUGUGCUUAAACAUUACUGUUUCAUUCAUCACUUUUACAUAAUGUAUGUAAAAGGUAU
Long non-coding RNA from Myxocyprinus asiaticus (Chinese sucker), 2721 nucleotides. RefSeq lists it as uncharacterized. The transcript has 3 exons. The record is from RefSeq and is a predicted model, not a curated record. NCBI's taxonomy places the organism in Eukaryota, Metazoa, Chordata, Actinopteri, Cypriniformes, Catostomidae.